GGCCAGCAGCCGCGGUAAGACGGAGGGGGCAAGCGUUGUCCGGAAUUACUGGGCGUAAAGGGCGCGUAGGCGGUCGGAUACGGCGGUGGUGAAAGCUCUCGGCUCAACUGAGAGAGGCCCGCCGCAACGGUCCGGCUUGAGGGUGGUAGAGGCAGACGGAAUUCCUGGUGUAGCGGUGAAAUGCGUAGAGAUCAGGAGGAACACCCGUGGCGAAGGCGGUCUGCUGGGCCACACCUGACGCUGAGGCGCGAAAGCCAGGGGAGUGAACGGGAUUAGAUACCCCGGUAAUCCUGGCUGUAAACGAUGGAAACUAGGUGUCAGCGGUAUCGACCCCGCUGGUGCCGCAGCUAACGCGUUAAGUUUCCCGCCUGGGGAGUACGGCCGCAAGGUUGAAACUUAAAGGAAUUGGCGGGGGA
This 416-nucleotide ribosomal RNA is filed under the name uncultured bacterium. Its description in RNAcentral is "bacterial SSU rRNA". It matches the Rfam family "Bacterial small subunit ribosomal RNA", at positions 506 to 920 of the family's 1533-position model. The record is from RNAcentral.